UACGUAGGGUGCAAGCGUUAAUCGGAAUUACUGGGCGUAAAGCGUGCGCAGGCGGUUUUGUAAGUCUGUCGUGAAAUCCCCGGGCUUAACCUGGGAACUGCAUUGGUGACUGGCAGGCUUUGAGUGUGGCAGAGGGAGGUAGAAUUCCACGUGUAGCAGUGAAAUGCGUAGAGAUGUGGAGGAAUACCGAUGGCGAAGGCAGCCUCCUGGGCCAACACUGACGCUCAUGCACGAAAGCGUGGGGAGCAAACAGG
RNAcentral lists this ribosomal RNA (254 nucleotides) under uncultured bacterium. Its description in RNAcentral is "partial 16S ribosomal RNA". It matches the Rfam family "Bacterial small subunit ribosomal RNA", at positions 524 to 776 of the family's 1533-position model. The record is from RNAcentral.